Molecule: long non-coding RNA, 567 nt
Organism: Xenopus laevis (African clawed frog)
Lineage: Eukaryota; Metazoa; Chordata; Amphibia; Anura; Pipidae
Exons: 2
Source: RefSeq, a predicted model, not a curated record
GGUGGGUUAUGUUGGCUCUUUUUCUCAUUUACAAUGGCUUUGACUUCAUAUUCAGCUUCUCAUGAAAAUCGUCUGGAUAUGCUUGCUUGCCCCAAAGUGAAUUUCAAGAAACAUCAAAACAGUUCCUAAGAUAGAGCAUCCUGAGUACCAGCAUGAUUCACAUGUUGUGAGACCAGUACCAUCGUCUGCCCUUCAUACACAGGCAACAGAUUGAGUUUGCCAGCUUGCUAAACCCAGCCCUCGCAGGAUAAUAUCUGAUGUGUAUGACCCAUAUAGAACCACACCUGCUUCAAAACAUGCAGAAGCUUCACCCCAUAUCCAGGAGCUCUGUACCCCUCCAGCCCGCAGACAGCGCUCAAAAAAGAUGUGACUUCUUAAAAAAUCUUUACCUACUAUAUAUCCAUUAAUUGUCAGAAUUACCUUGAUUCUCAGUUAAAUGCACUUCUGCAGCAUAACCUGUGUGAUUUGAAGAACAUUUGACAGAUAAAUGACAAAUAUGUAAUAUGUGAUAUGUAAUAUGUGAAUACAAGUGUACAAAAUUUGAGAAAAUACAACAAAUGUGAUAUA